Molecule: unclassified non-coding RNA, 267 nt
Filed under: uncultured fungus
Lineage: Eukaryota; Fungi
Description: partial contains 5.8S ribosomal RNA, internal transcribed spacer 2, and large subunit ribosomal RNA
Rfam family: 5.8S ribosomal RNA (bases 1-52)
Source: RNAcentral
AACGCACAUUGCGCCCGCCAGUAUUCUGGCGGGCAUGCCUGUCCGAGCGUCAUUUACAACCCUCGAGCCCCCGGCUCGGUGUUGGGGCGGCUACGCGCGCCGUAGGCCCCGAAUCGCAGUGGCGGGCUCGCCGCGACCCCGAGCGUAGUAGCACACAAGCUCGCUCCAGGGCGCGCCGCGGCGGGCGCCGGCCGUUAAAAAAGAGGGGGGGGGACAACCCCCCGAAAGGUUGACCUCGGAUCAGGUAGGAAUACCCGCUGAACUUAA